This is a long non-coding RNA of Apis florea (little honeybee), 1657 nucleotides long. The record is from RefSeq and is a predicted model, not a curated record. NCBI's taxonomy places the organism in Eukaryota, Metazoa, Arthropoda, Insecta, Hymenoptera, Apidae.
UAUAUAUAUAAUAUUUCCCAAAGAUGCUUAAAUAUCAACUUAGAGAUGAAAAAUGGCGGAUGCGAAGGGAUCGGUUUAUCCAGCAGAGGGCGCCUGUUCUCUACGAAAAUUUCUGCAAGCAUGCAUCACAUAUACGUAUACGUAUGCACGAGCGAACAGCUGCGUUUGAUUCGUACGGUAAACUCAACGUUCUAAUUACGACAAUUGGCUGUCAUUGUUCUUAGACAUAUACGUAAGACUAGGAGAACGAUUAACGUGAUGGUAACCAGUGACUACUUGGAAACUGUGGCCCUACGGCGCUCGCGACGAACAUUUUCGAACUGUACGUGAAAUUAAGGUCGAUUGUUAAUAAUAGAAAUGAGACAAAGAUGUCGGAUUUAUUAUUAGCAUACGUUUUUAAAUAAUCUGAUUUAAUUUGAGAUAUUGUCGAUUCAAAGACAUUUUUAUUUUGUACAGGACGAUUCAUAUUAUUAGUUGUUAUAAUAUUUAACCUUCAAUUAGUAUCGUUUAAAUCGUAGAUGGCGUAUUAAUAGUAAAUCUGUUGAUAUGACAAUUUUUAUUUUGUAAUAUCAUAGUAUAAUAUUAUUAUAUUUAUUUGUUCUAAUUUUAUAAUAUAGUUGAUUUUUGAUCUAUGAAUAUGGAUCUAACUGAUUCUUGAAAAAUUAAAAAUUGUAUAAUAAUUUUUAGCUAUGCAAGAAAUUGAUGUUCCUAACCUCAUUCAAGACUCAUUUUCUCGGAUAUCUCUUAGGCAACAAUAUUGCGACAGGAAGAAAAAAGAAAAGAAGAUUAAACGCCAUGCUAUUUUCCUUCACGCUAAAUAUGAGAAUUAAAUUCAUAACCGCAAUUCCAUUCGUGAUAUUUGACGGAGCUAAUGUGGUGGAACGAUGGAUUGACGCGUGUAAUUAGAAAGCACAUACGCGCAUUUACGCGGAAUCGGCGCGUUUGUUUUGCAAUUAGUGAGUUGCAAGUAGGUUUUAAACAAUUGAAUUGCAACGUUCACCCAUCGUUGGUUUUUUUAUGGAUCAACGGGAUAACUAGCUUUGAUAACGAAGGAUAAUCGUUGGGCUGGUCUUUCAGUGAACUUUAUUGUCAUCGCAGCUAUUGUCAUCGAUCGUCAGUUUAGAAAUCACUUUGAAGAAACAAUAAUUAUCAUUAUCAUAUUAUAUUAAUGGGAUAACUUUAUAUUGAACUUGGAACGAUAUUAAAGAUAUAUUUUAAGAACAAAAAUAUAAAGACAAAACAAAAUAAAGGAAGUGUUUCAGCAAUUGGUUGCUUCUUUAGGAGCAAUUUGGGUGCUAAUUAACCAAAGCUGAUUGGGUGCAUUACAAUCGAUCUUUCCCAUAGAAUGGCGAUAUGCAAAAUUCGACAUUAGCCAAAGCGUGAUCUAUCGGCGUCCUUAAUUAGUUAGCUCGCCACAUUUAUCUCUAGGAAACAAAAAAAAAAAAAGGAUAAAAGUGAGAGUAUUCCUAGGGGACGUGAACCUUCACGUAACGAACCGAUCGAGUUACUCGGAAGCUGUGCUUAGGCUAAUUUCAUCGGCGAUCGAUUUUCUAUUUCUCACGAGGUUGGACGUUGAACCAGUCUUUUCCUUUCUAAGAAUAGAUGAUUGUAUAAAUAAUAUUGCUCAUUAAAUGUUAAUAUAGGAUGAUCCAAGUGA